AUGCACUGGGCUGCUUCUCCAUCGCAUGUGCCAUCUGCUCCCAUCAGCCCUGUGGGGAUGCUCCAAGAGGCAGAGAGAGGGACUGAUGUGGUGGCGCAGCGGGUUAAGCCGCCACCUGCAACACUGUCAUCCCAUAUGGGAGCACUGGUUCAAGUCCCGGCUGCGCUGCUUCGGAUCCAGCUCCCUACCAGUGUGCCUGGAAAGGAAGAGGAAGAUGGGCCAAGUGCUUAGGUCCCUGCCACCCACGUAGAAGACCUGGAUGGAGUCCCAGGCUCCUGGCUUUUCCCUGGAGGGGAAGGGACCACAAAGCCGGGAGUUCCUCUCAUCCUUUAGGCUGAUUGAUGAGCUGUGCACCUGUGGGUCCCUGUGUCUCUGGUCCUGCCUGGUGGUUCUGGCCACACGUUAAACCAUCAGAAAUGAGUUUUCCCAGGACCUGGAAGACAAAUGUGUGUUUCUUCUCUCAGUGGCACUUUGUCUAGGAGCCACCUGCCCCCCAUUGACCUCAUACAGUGCCCUCCCCAGCCCUUCCAUCUCCGUGGGUGACAGUGCCACCUACAAUGCCUGCCACGCUUUGCACUGUUGCCUCCAUGACUGGACAACUGGAAAGAGUCACGAGGGAUGUGAGUUGACCCUGAAACAAUGGUCCUGUCCUUUGUCAUCCUCUACGAAUGGGAAAGAAGUGACGCCUUCCAAAAUCCCUUCUAAUGCACGCACCCAUGUCCCUAGCUGCCAUUUGCCAAGGCCUCGCUCUGUCCCAGAUUUGGGAGACCUCAUUCCUGCUCUUCUCAGCACCUCUAAAAGACAAGUACCAUUGCCUUCAAUAGAGGAAAACUGAGGCUGAGAGACACUAUGUGACCUCCUGGCUAGGGCCCCACAGAACGUGGGCCUGACCUCCAAACCCCGACUUUCUCCACAUUGUGCCUUCCUGCUGGAGUCCAUGGGGACAUAUGACGUCCACCUGCCAGCACCCUGACUCCCCUCCUCCAAUGAGGCAGAGGCUCUGGGCCUCCCAAGCUUCCUCGCUGCUCUGCCCAUCUUCUCCUGCUCCCUCUCCUUCCCGCUGUUUCAGUGUCUCCAGAUCCAUUUCCAACCCGCCCCUUUAGCUGGGGCAGCCACAGCUGGAAGGGGAGCCAUUGCGAUGGCACAGGGACCCCUCCCAUUCCUGUCUCCCCUUCCCUCCCAGUCCUGACCCAGUCCAUGGUACCCCAACUGGAACAGAAGCAAAGUCUUAGAGCUGAGGACACAGCCAGAACCUGUGUGAGUGUGAGCGGGCACACCUGUAGGAGUGAGUGAGCAAGUGCGCUUGAGCAUGUGAGAAUGUGUGUGCUAGUGAGUGUGCACGCAGGAGUGCGUCCUGUGUGGGGAAGUGUGCAUGUGCAAGCGGGUGAGAGUGAGCACGCUUGUGUGAAAGUGUGUCUGGGGGCAGUGUGCACCUGCAGGUAGCACCGUGUCUAACAGGUGCUACAGCAGAUGCCUCAGCACAUUAGGAAAGAGUUUCCUUCCAGCUUGCUUGACAGGGUACUCCAUUCGCAACGUGAUGUAGCAGCCUAAGGCUGGAGCCAGAGAGCCAGGUAGCAGAGGGGUGUGCCAGCUCCAGCUCCACGGGCUCAGCUUCUCUCCCAGCCACCUUCAGAACUCAGAAGCGCGGGGCGCUGUGGCGUAGUGCUACCUGCAGUGCCGGCAUCCCAUAUGGGCGCCAAUUCGAGUCCUGGCUGCUCCACUUCUGAUCCAGCUCUCUGUUGUGGCCUGGGAAAGCAGUGGAAGAUGGCCCAAGUCCUUGGGCCCCUGCAUCCACAUAGGAGACCCGGAAGAAGCUCCUGGCUCCUAGCUCCUGGCUCCUGGCUCCCGGCUUCAGAUCAGAGUAGCUCCAGCUGUUGUGGCCAACAGGGGGAGUGAACUGGGGAGUGAACCAGUAGAUGGAAGAUUUCUGUCUCUCUCUCUCUCUGCCUCUCCUUCUCUCUCUCUGUAACUCUGACUUUCAAAUAAAUAGUCUUUAAAAAAAAGAGCUCA
Molecule: long non-coding RNA, 2010 nt
Filed under: Oryctolagus cuniculus (rabbit)
Lineage: Eukaryota; Metazoa; Chordata; Mammalia; Lagomorpha; Leporidae
Description: lncRNA (ENSOCUG00000030484.1)
Source: RNAcentral